CAGGCCUACACAUGCAGUCGAACGUACAGGAAGCAGCUUGCUGCUUUGCUGACGAGUGGCGGACGGGUGAGUAAUGUCUGGGAAACUGCCUGAUGGAGGGGGAUAACUACUGGAAACGGUAGCUAAUACCGCAUAACGUCGCAAGACCAAAGAGGGGGACCUUCGGGCCUCUUGCCAUCGGAUGUGCCCAGAUGGGAUUAGCUAGUAGGUGGGGUAACGGCUCACCUAGCGACGAUCCCUAGCUGGUCUGAGAGGAUGACCAGCACACUGGAACUGAACACG
RNAcentral lists this ribosomal RNA (282 nucleotides) under uncultured bacterium. RNAcentral's name for it is "partial 16S ribosomal RNA". It matches the Rfam family "Bacterial small subunit ribosomal RNA", at positions 46 to 328 of the family's 1533-position model. The record is from RNAcentral.